This is an RNA transcript of Triticum aestivum (bread wheat), 2390 nucleotides long. RefSeq lists it as uncharacterized. Lineage: Eukaryota; Viridiplantae; Streptophyta; Magnoliopsida; Poales; Poaceae. The transcript has 5 exons. The record is from RefSeq and is a predicted model, not a curated record.
AAAGAACAGCCCACGCCCGUCCCCCCCAUCAGCAAGCAGCAAGAAAGCACGCCACCUCCAAGGCCCGCCCGGCCCUCCCUCCGUCCAUCCACCGUAACCGCCCCAGCGAUUACUGAUUAAUCCUGUUCUCCUCCGCCCCUCCUCCGCUCCCAGAAAGAAGUGCCGCCUGUCUCCUCCCUCCCUCCCUCCCUCUGCCCUCGCCCUCGCGGCUUAAUCCCAAUUGGGUUGGGUUGGAGGAGCAACCCAAUUGGGGAUUAAUCUAUCAGAGGAGGAGGAGGAGGAUUCGCACUCACCAUACCGAGGUUGUCUUGCUUCCUCUUCCGUUCCUGGGAUUGGCCAAGGCGCAUCCACCCACAGCUCUGCCGCAGGAGUAGAAUCAUGAAGCUGAAAAACAGUUUUAGGGAGGCCGAUCCGAUUGCCGUGCAGAGGGGCUAUGGUUUCAGGCCAAACCAACCAGCUGUUGUUCAUCAGGCAAGAUGCAGAUGGAUCAUUGGAGAUGUGACCGAGGUGUUUGAUCAUAACACAUGGAAGCUUGGCAAGAUUGCAAAGAUUGUGAAGAACGAUUACUUUGUCAUCAGGCUCGCCGACUGCAUCCAGUUGAAAGAGUUCCACAUUUCUAGCUUGAGGGUUCCACAACCACAUGAUGCUCCCACAGCUCCUCCUUAUGGCAAGCAGUUCCCUGCAGCUGACAACAAGGUGACCCGAAGGGGCAACCAGCUGCCUGCUGAUGCGCUGAGAAGAUCAGGCAAGAAGAGGAAAUCGUCCGAAGUUCUUGAUUUCUCUCCUCAGCCAAGCCAGAGAAGGCUCUUCCAGGUGGCCAGGGAAGAGGCCGCCCCCGCGGAGUGCUCGGUGGCGAGCUGCAGCGCCGCGAACGACGACGUCGGCGUCAGCAGUGGCCGGCACGGGGGCUGCUGCUCCGUGGGGCGCGGCGACGCCCAGUCGCGCGUGGUGGCGGCCUCCCCGCGCGCCGCGUGGUCGUCGUCGGACUCGGACGGCGCGCUGAGCGACGGCGGGCCGGCGGGCGUGGACGUGCACGAGCUGGAGCUGGAGGCGUACCGGUCGACGGUGCGCGCGCUGCACGCGUCGGGGCCGCUGACGUGGGAGCAGGAGUCGCUGCUCACCAACCUCCGCCUCUCCCUCAACAUCUCCAACGAGGAGCACCUCCUCCAGCUCCGCCGCCUGCUCUCCUCCUGAGCCCGAUCCUCGUCGCCGGCCCACCGCCGGCUCGCCGACGGCUUAAUCAUCACUCAUCGAGGCGACUCCGGUCCAGUCCAGUCCUGACAGACGAACACCGCAGGGCGCUGCGAAAUAACGGAGGCCGAUGUGCCGUGGAGCUCUCUGUUUUUCCUUUCGGCAAGAGAAGAAUUUUGCUUGUUCGUCCUGUGUAGUCGAUGCAGCAGCAGCAGCAGCAGCUCCAGCUCCAUUGCCGACGUAGAGAGAGCUCUGCGGGGUGAUAAGCUUGGAGUCGACCGACCGGCCGACUAGCGCACCUGGCAGUACCGAAACUCGAUCGUCCGGCCAUGCGGGCACGUGUCUGCCUCGCCCCGGCACGCGGCGCGCGGGCCACGUGCCAUGGCGCGCUCCGCGCGUCUCCUCGCCGAACGCGUGUCGACGUGAAGGCCGUUAAAGUGCGUCGGCACUGCCGCUUGCCUCUGCUCUGCUCCUGUGGUUGUCUUCUCGUGCGGUUGCGCACUGGCUUUUGCUUUUGUAGACUCUGUAUCGUCGACGAGCUCCGACCCUGGCUUAGCUCCGGGCAGCGGGUGAUGAUGUCGGUGAGCCUCGUGAGGGCGUCGCUGCCGGCUUGGUGCACGGCGGCGGCCGCGGGGAGCAGCGGCCUGCGCUCUCGCCUGCGCGGCAUGGCGUGCUCCGGUCGGCGCGUGGGCGUCCGGUGCAGCGGCACGACACCGCCGGGGUUCCCUCCGGGGCCGACGCCGCCGGGGUUCCCCGCGGUGCCGUCGCCCGAGGAGGUGCCGGGCACGGCCCGCCCGCCAGAGGAGAUGCCGGGCACGGCGAGGCCGCCGCAGGAGAUGCCGGGCAUCGACAUGCCGCCGGAGUUCAACGCGCCCCCGGGCGUGGACGUGCCGAUGCCGGGCGCGCCCGUGCCGGGCACGCCUCCCAGCCCGGAGCAGCCGGGGCCGUUCAUCCCGUCGCCGCCGAGGCCGGAGAUCCCGGCCGUGCCGCCGAACCCCGACGUGAUCCCGCCGCCGCCGCCGGAGGUGGACCCGCCGCGCGCUCCGCCGGAGGUCGUCCCGCCGCAGACGUCCGAUGUCCCGCCUCCCUUUGUGUGAGCGUGCGCGGUCGCGCCGACCCCGACGGUCACCGAGAUGUGAGAUAGCGUACUAUGUACAGUAGCUUCCAGCUUCAAAUAAAGAGGAUCGGUUGCGGCGCCC